GAACGCUGGCGGGCGUGCUUAACACAUGCAAAGUCGAAACGGAAAAGGCCCUGCUUUUGUGGGGUGCUCGAGUGGCGAACGGGUGAGUAACACGUGAGUAACCUGCCCUUGACUUUGGGAUAACUUCAGGAAACUGGGGCUAAUACCGGAUAGGAGCUCCUACUGCAUGGUGGGGGUUUGGAAAAGUUUCGGCGGUUGGGGAUGGACUCGCGGCUUAUCAGCUUGUUGGUGGGGUAGUGGCUUACCCAAGGCCUUUGACGGGUAGCCGGCCUGAGAGGGGUGACCGGCCACAUUGGGACUGAGAUACGGCCCAGACUCCUACGGGAGGCAGCAGUGGGGAAUAUUGCACAAUGGGCGGAAGCCUGAUGCAGCAACGCCGCGUGCGGGAUGACGGCCUUCGGGUUGUAAACCGCUUUCGCCUGUGACGAAGCGUGAGUGACGGUAAUGGGUAAAGAAGCACCGGCUAACUACGUGCCAGCAGCCGCGGUAAU
This 491-nucleotide ribosomal RNA is filed under the name uncultured Propionibacterium sp. RNAcentral's name for it is "bacterial SSU rRNA". It matches the Rfam family "Bacterial small subunit ribosomal RNA", at positions 31 to 524 of the family's 1533-position model. The record is from RNAcentral. Lineage: Bacteria; Bacillati; Actinomycetota; Actinomycetes; Propionibacteriales; Propionibacteriaceae.